AAUAAGUGUAGUUUUGCACUGUUCAUGUCCAACGUUUGACCAUUUGUCUUAUUUAAAAUUUUUUAUGAUUAGUAUUUUUUAUUAGAUGAUAAAACAUGAAUAGGACUUUAUAUGUGACUAUUUUUUUUUAACUUUUUCAUAAUUUUUUUCAAAUAAGACGGACGGUCAAACGUUGGAUACGGAUUCCCACGGCUGCACUUAUU
Non-coding RNA from Oryza glumipatula, 203 nucleotides. The record is from Rfam. NCBI's taxonomy places the organism in Eukaryota, Viridiplantae, Streptophyta, Magnoliopsida, Poales, Poaceae.